This 87-nucleotide transfer RNA is filed under the name Flavihumibacter stibioxidans. RNAcentral describes it as "tRNA-Leu". It matches the Rfam family "tRNA". From Rfam's summary of the family: Transfer RNA (tRNA) molecules are approximately 80 nucleotides in length. Their secondary structure includes four short double-helical elements and three loops (D, anti-codon, and T loops). Further hydrogen bonds mediate the characteristic L-shaped molecular structure. tRNAs have two regions of fundamental functional importance: the anti-codon, which is responsible for specific mRNA codon recognition, and the 3' end, to which the tRNAs corresponding amino acid is attached (by aminoacyl-tRNA synthetases). tRNAs cope with the degeneracy of the genetic code in two manners: having more than one tRNA (with a specific anti-codon) for a particular amino acid; and 'wobble' base-pairing, i.e. permitting non-standard base-pairing at the 3rd anti-codon position. RNAcentral also lists the same sequence under 1 other name. Lineage: Bacteria; Pseudomonadati; Bacteroidota; Chitinophagia; Chitinophagales; Chitinophagaceae. The record is from RNAcentral.
GCCCAGAUGGCGGAAUUGGUAGACGCGCUAGACUCAAAAUCUGGUUCUCGCAAGGGAGUGCAGGUUCGAUUCCUGUUCUGGGCACCA